GGCUCAGAACGAACGCUCGCGACGUGCCUAACACAUGCAAGUCGAGCGGACCUGCGAGAGCUUGCUCCCGCAGGUUAGCGGCAGACGGGUGAGUAACACGUGGGUAACCUGUCCUCGAGUGGGGGAUAACCCGGGGAAACUCGGGCUAAUACCGCAUCACAUCAUCGAGUCCUUGGGCUUGGUGAUCAAAGCUGGGUUUACCUGGCGCUUGAGGAGGGGCCCGCGCCCGAUUAGCUUGUUGGUGGGGUAAUGGCCCACCAAGGCUGCGAUCGGUAGCCGACCUGAGAGGGUGACCGGCCACACUGGGACUGAGACACGGCCCAGACUCCUACGGGAGGCAGCAGUGAGGAAUUAUGCGCAAUGGGGGCAACCCUGACGCUGCGACGUCGCGUGGGUGAUGAAGGCCUUCGGGUCGUAAAACCCUGUCGAGAGGGAAGAACAGUACGGGUGUUAAUACCAUCCGUGCUCGACGGUACCUCUGGAGGAAGCCCCGGCUAACUCCGUGCCAGCAGCCGCGGUAACACGGAGGGGGCGAGCGUUGUUCGGAAUUACUGGGCGUAAAGCGCGCGCAGGCGGCGGGGCAAGUCGGACGUGAAAGCCCUCGGCUCAACCGAGGAACUGCGUCCGAUACUGCUCUGCUUGAGUCCGGUAGGGGAUAGCGGAAUUCCCGGUGUAGCGGUGGAAUGCGUAGAUAUCGGGAGGAACACCGAUGGCGAAGGCGGCUAUCUGGGCCGGUACUGACGCUGAGGCGCGAAAGCUAGGGGAGCAAACAGGAUUAGAUACCCUGGUAGUCCUAGCUGUAAACGAUGGGCACUACGUGUCGUGGGUCUCUACCCCCACGGUGCCGCAGCUAACGCAUUAAGUGCCCCGCCUGGGGAGUACGGUCGCAAGCCUGAAACUCAAAGGAAUUGACGGGGGCCCGCACAAGCGGUGGAGCAUGUGGUUUAAUUCGAUGCAACGCGAAGAACCUCACCUGGGUUUGAACUGGCGUGGAAAGCCUUAGAGAUAAGGCCCCUUCUUCGGAA
This 1025-nucleotide ribosomal RNA is filed under the name uncultured organism. RNAcentral describes it as "bacterial SSU rRNA". It matches the Rfam family "Bacterial small subunit ribosomal RNA", at positions 21 to 1025 of the family's 1533-position model. The record is from RNAcentral.